UGCUUAGCCAACCUCACCGAACAUCAGCGAUGGAUCUGUUGUCCAUCCAUCAUCCAAUUAAUUCUUUUAAAAUUUAUUUGUAAUGUGAUGCUUAGUACGGCAUUACAUCAUUAGGGGAUAAAGGUGUUGUCAAUGACGAUGAACAAUGAAAAAUUAAUAAUCACAGCAAUUUAAAAUCUUUAAAGUAAAAAACCAAAAAAUUGCAACAUAUGAGUCUCAAGCUAAUCAAUGAAAAAUUAUAAAGACAACUUAUAGUUUGGGACGUUAAAACAGAGACUGCCAAAAGAUAGAUCAAUCUAAAACAUGAAAUUCCCGCACCAACAUCAAAAAACUGAGAUCAGCUUAUCCAAGAGUAAGUUCAUGGAAGAGCUGUACUCCAAAUAUAUCUUCACUAUGCCACAAGGGUGCUGGCGGUGGUUGAUUCAUAUUUCCACACUGGUGGAAGCUUCUUAGUCUUCUUGUAAUAGCGAGCUAAGCGAUGGAUCCUGCUCUCAACCAAAAUCAACCUAAAUUUGGAAUCUUUAUCCUUUCUGUUCCUCUCCAGAUGUUUCCUAAUUGCAACUGCUUUCUUGAUGAGGUGGUACAAAUCUUCAGGUAUUUCAGGAGCAAGCCCAUGCGCCUUUAAUAUCCGCAAAAUCUUGCUCCCAGUAACACUUUUCACUUGAGCAAUCCCAUGAGAAUCACGAAGGAUGACACCAAUUUGAGAUGGCGUCAAGCCUUUCUUAGCGAUCUUGCAGAUGUUAUCCUCCACAUCCUGAGAUGAAAUCUUGAGCCAACUGGGAGGUGUCCUCUUGUAAGGCAAAGCAGAUGCCGAGAUACCCUUACCUCGACUGUGCAUGCGACCCAUGGUGGCGGACUGAGGAUAUUUACGCUUCCUUUAGCAGCUUAGCUUGCUCCUUCAAACCCUAGGCCAGGAA
Molecule: unclassified non-coding RNA, 917 nt
Filed under: Hevea brasiliensis (rubber tree)
Lineage: Eukaryota; Viridiplantae; Streptophyta; Magnoliopsida; Malpighiales; Euphorbiaceae
Source: RNAcentral